RNAcentral lists this ribosomal RNA (253 nucleotides) under uncultured bacterium. Its description in RNAcentral is "partial 16S ribosomal RNA". It matches the Rfam family "Bacterial small subunit ribosomal RNA", at positions 524 to 776 of the family's 1533-position model. The record is from RNAcentral.
UACGUAGGGACCAAGCGUUGUCCGGAAUCAUUGGGCGUAAAGCGCGCGUAGGCGGCCCGGUAAGUCCGUUGUGAAAGUCAAAGGCUCAACCUUUGAAAGCCGAUGGAUACUGCAGGGCUAGAGUCCGGAAGAGGCGAGUAGAAUUCCUGGUGUAGCGGUGGAAUGCGCAGAUAUCAGGAGGAACACCCAUAGCGAAGGCAGCUCGCUGGGACGGUACUGACGCUAAGGCGCGAAAGCGUGGGGAGCGAACAGG